Long non-coding RNA from Megalobrama amblycephala (Wuchang bream), 429 nucleotides. RefSeq lists it as uncharacterized. The transcript is spliced from 3 exons. Lineage: Eukaryota; Metazoa; Chordata; Actinopteri; Cypriniformes; Xenocyprididae. The record is from RefSeq and is a predicted model, not a curated record.
UAAAUCACUAAAAUAUUAAUAUAAUAGUUUCUCUUGAAUGUGUACAUUUAAUCAGCACGUUCAUCCAUACAGAGCAAUAUUUGACUGAUAUAUUAAUUUUUGUUUCUUUUUCUCCCUCUUCCUUGUGUGUAAUCAGAUCAUUGGUUCUGCUCUUAUUUAUUGCCAUCUAGUCCUGUUUGCAGAAUUAACUGUGGCUCCAGCCAUUAAGCAGACCUGAACCAGUUGAUGAAGGUCUUCAGGAUCACCAGAAACUACAGGCAGGUGUGUGAGAAAGUUGGAGCUACAUACUGCAGGACGUUGGUCCUCCAUGACCAGGACUGGACACCACUGUUGUCUAAGCCAGCCACAGUGGAUACAGUGAAGCCACAAACACAGUUCAUAGUUCUUGUAUUUCUAUUACACAUUAAAUAAUAAAAAAUAUCAUGUUAA